This is a long non-coding RNA of Triplophysa rosa, 1224 nucleotides long. RefSeq lists it as uncharacterized. The transcript is spliced from 4 exons. Lineage: Eukaryota; Metazoa; Chordata; Actinopteri; Cypriniformes; Nemacheilidae. The record is from RefSeq and is a predicted model, not a curated record.
GGAGAAACUGUUCCUUCAGACAUAGUUCUCUGUAUAAUGCAAUAUUUUCACAGAGUUGAAGAGGUGCUUGAAGACUAGAAAGGACCAGUGCAUCUUCUGGCCAUCAGCGUACUAGAUAAACAUCUUCAACAAUGUGCUGUAAGCGCUGCAAAAAGGAACCCUAUAAAGACGGUGCAUUUUGUAGGAUGUGUCGUACAUGUGGACCAUGCUUGCAUUUCUGUCAGUGUGGCAAAAAUCUACAACAGAAUGGUGUAAUGACUCACUAUCGUCAGAACUACGUCUAUGAACAGAAGUCAGUAGUACAUAUUGAAAAAACUACAUCCAUCAAGACAUCAACUUUUAAUCAUCUGAAUUAAACCAAAUGGACAAAACUGUCUGGGGUGCUAAUACUUUGCACACUAUAUAUUUUUCUGUACUUUAAUUUGCAACUUUUAAAUUCUCAAACAAAGUUAUUACUUUCAUUUUAUGUUCCUGUGAGGGCUGAUAUGGUUGUGUUUUAGUCAAUAACUUUGUUUCUAUGUUAAUCAGUAAAAUCUGAUGACAGUGAUGAAUAAUGUGUUUUGUACAGAAUCUUCAGAAAUGUGUUCUGAUUUAAAUAAAUACUUGUUUUAGCAGAUUUGUUGUCUGACAAACAUCUAGAAAGAACAACACAUCAGAUAUAAGAGAAACCAUGAGAAAACAGAAUUAGCCUUUGGGUAAUUCAUAAAUUAAAGUUGAUUUCACAGUUAAAGACUGGAGCUCUGAAGAACCAAGGCAGCCUUUGUAAUAAUUUUUCAAAUAAUAAUUCAAUUUUAUAUAAAUUAUAUUGUUUUCAUAUACUUUUAAAAUAUGAAACCAUUUGUACUUUAAAAUUAUAUUCAUAGUAGGAUAUACCCAUUAAAACACAUUUUUUAUCUAAUGCUCACAUCUUAGUCAAAUCUGAACUAGAGAUCUAGAGUAGCAUUUUGUUCAGUGCAUUUGAAAAACUGAGAAAAACAUCAACAAAUACCUUGUGAAUUUAUAAGGCUUUCGUAAUGGGAUUAUCACAGAUUCAUAGUCAAAUGAUACAAAUGAACAACAGAUUUUGCACAAAUUCAGGUUUAGGACAUAUUUAAGGUGUUAGUAUAAGAUUUAAUUUAAUGAUGCCCUUAAUGUCCUGAAAUGGGUAUAAAACAUUUAAAGCAUAUUGAAUGGCCCUCUGCUUAUAAAUUAAAAUGUUGUAAGGGAACCAAAUAUUUAUAAAAA